Plodia interpunctella (Indianmeal moth) is the source of this 1691-nucleotide long non-coding RNA. RefSeq lists it as uncharacterized. NCBI's taxonomy places the organism in Eukaryota, Metazoa, Arthropoda, Insecta, Lepidoptera, Pyralidae. The transcript has 3 exons. The record is from RefSeq and is a predicted model, not a curated record.
UCUUACGACAGUCAGUGAUAAUAAUAAUGGUAAUAAUGGUUGAUUCUAGUUGAAAAUUCUCUUGAAUCGUGUUGAUAUUACACUUGACACUCGGAAGGACUUCUUGUUACUCGGAAUCGUUGUGUUGUAAAAGGUAUAAUCCAUUCAAGCUGAAGGUAGGUAUGCCUACAAGCCAUGGAGCGCAUUUAUUAGGUGUUAAAUUAACUGAUCGAGUUCGAAACACUAUGCUGCGAUCCAUCACAAAACUGACAGAUGUAGGAGAAACGGCGGCUAGGCGGGUCACGUUUGCCGUAUGCAGCCUGAGAGAUGCCCACAUUCUUACAACCUGGAUUCCAACUGACGGGUACAGAAAGCGAGGUCAAAGCGGAACGCUGUGUGGAGGAUAGAUAGUAAUAUAUUAUUUUUUGCCAUGGGUAAUGGUGUGGUAAAAGUUAUAUCAAAUGAAAUGUAUACUAAUUGAUUUCAAAACAGUUGAAAUGGGAAAUUAAUAUAAAAAAUAUAUAAAAAUUUUAUAAUAAAAUAAAUAUUGUUUUGAAAUCGAUACUUAAGCCGAACCGCCAAGGCUUCCUUAUGAAUACAAUUCAAUUUCCACGACCUUUGACCCCAUCCUUUGACCUUCGUUUGAUGUAUCAUGUAGCUCCAUAAAACGAAUGAACUUACGUCAAAAUGAGGUUACCAGAUGACGACGGGGUUUUAUUAAAAAAGGAGAAUGUGAUUGAUGCUGCGUGCAUAUUUAAUUUUAAUAUUUCCACUUUGAUCGUAGAUAAUGUAUUUUGUAAACAUUUUUGUUGAUCUUCCUGUAAAGAUUAUUGAAUAACUGUACAUUAUUGUAUAAGCUGAAAAUGUAAACGAAGUAUAUUAAAUAUUACAUUAGCUGCAAUCUGCCCGCGCAAUUAUUUAAAAAACGCGCUAUACGCACGUAGCGCCAUCUAUUUUAAUAUUAUCUUAAUUAUAAAAGCGACAGUUUGCGAGUAUGUUUGUGACUUCUUCAUGCUCAAACCGGCUAAGCCAAAACAAUGAAAUUUAAUAAUGAGGUAGCUGAUAUCACCCUUAUUUAAUAAUUAAUAAUUUUUAUCCCAAAAGUAUGCGAUUCCCGUAGGAUUUGGUCAAAAAGUCUGAUAGACAAUGGCGCUUUAUGAGUAGAUGGCGUUACAGUGCAAAAAAAAGUGUUCUUUUUUCAAAAUAUUUACGCGCGAAACACCGCGUUGUGUUGCCAGCUUAUUAUAUACAUUUCGCUCAUCUAAUAGUACAGGGUGAUACAGGGUAACAAGUUAAUCUAAGGUAUGGCAACAGAACCCUAAUCUGAUCCUACGUCAGGAUUUAUUCAAAUCAAACUGAUGUUAUGUGUUAUGACACCGGCUCGGGUGACCUUCCGUGCCUUGAAUAUUAAAAUGACCAUUUGUAUUAGUGUGAGGAUUGUCGAUUUCGAAAGAAGUGAUACUGAGUUUCAGGAGUGAAUUGACAUAUCACCUACUAGCUGCGCCCCAGGGCGUCGCUCCAUUGGGAAUUUCGGGAUAAAAAGAACCCUAUCGGUUAUUCUAGGUUAAAUACUACCCGUGUACCAAAUUUUAUUACUAUCUGUCCAGUAGAUUUUGCGUGAAAGAGUAACAAACAUAAUAGCUGCGCCCCGGGGCUUCGGUCCCGUGGGAAUUUCGACAUAAAAAGUAUUCUAGGUUCUAUACUACCCGUGG